RNAcentral lists this ribosomal RNA (1244 nucleotides) under metagenome. Its description in RNAcentral is "bacterial LSU rRNA". It matches the Rfam family "Bacterial large subunit ribosomal RNA", at positions 1564 to 2815 of the family's 2925-position model. The record is from RNAcentral.
UGAGUACGAGAUGCUACGGCAUCGAAGCAGUCUAUGUCAUACUUCCAAGAAAAGCUUGCAAUGUCAUAAACAAAUAAUGCCUGUACCAUAACCGACACAGGUGGGUAGGUAGAGUAUACUAAGGGGCGCGAGAUAACUCUCUCUAAGGAACUCGGCAAAAUGACUCCGUAACUUCGGGAGAAGGAGUGCCUUAUUUUUAUAAGGUUGCAAUAACAAGAUCCAAGCAACUGUUUACCAAAAACACAGGUCUCCGCUAAGUCGUAAGACGAUGUAUGGGGGCUGACGCCUGCCCAGUGCCAGAAGGUUAAAGAAGUUGGUUAGCAUUAGCGAAGCUGACAACUGAAGCCCUGGUGAACGGCGGCCGUAACAAUAACGGUCCUAAGGUAGCGAAAUUCCUUGUCGGGUAAGUUCCGACCCGCACGAAAGGCGUAAUGAUUUGGAUACUGUCUCGGAGAGGGGCUCGGUGAAAUAGACUUGUCUGUGAAGAUGCGGACUACCUGCACCUGGACAGAAAGACCCUAUGAAGCUUUACUGUAACUUGAGAUUGAAAUUGGACUUUAUCUGCGCAGUAUAGGUGGGAGACGUUGAAAAUAUUCUUGCGGGAAUAUUGGAGUCAUCAGUGAGAUACCACUCUUAUAAUGUUAGAUUUCUAACUUUGUAUCAUUAUCUGGUCAAAGAACAGUUUCAGGCGGGCAGUUUGACUGGGGCGGUCGCCUCCCAAACGGUAACGGAGGCGCACAAAGGUUUCCUCUGAACGUGUAGAAAUCGUAUCUAGAGUGUAAAGGCAUAAGGAAGCUUGACUGUGAGACCUACAAGUCGAGCAGGGACGAAAGUCGGUCUUAGUGAUCUGACGGUGCUGAGUGGAAAGGCCGUCACUCAACGGAUAAAAGUUACUCUAAGGAUAACAGGCUGAUCUCCCCCAAGAGUUCACAUCGACGGGGAGGUUUGGCACCUCGAUGUCGGCUCAUCGCAUCCUGGGGCGGUAGUACGUCCCAAGGGUUGGGCUGUUCGCCCAUGAAAGCGGUACGCGAGCUGGGUUCAGAACGUCGUGAGACAGUUCGGUCCAUAUCCGGUGUAGGCGUUAGAAUAUUGAGAGGAGCCUUCUUUAGUACGGGAGGACCGAGAAGGACAUACCUCUGGUGUACCAGUUAUCGUGCCAACGGUAAACGCUGGGUAGCCAUGUAUGGAGAGGAUAACCGCUGAAAGCAUCUAAGUGGGAAGCCCACCUCAAGAUAAGUAUUCCA